GAGGACCUCCUACUUUAGCAGGCUACUGCUAGAGAGACUCAAGCUCCACGCCACCCCCAUCGGUGGACGUAGUUGCACCCCGAGGGUCGUCCCCUACACUCGACACAUCUCGGACGGCGCCUGCGGCAGCACCACAGGAGGAGGCGAUUGCGGCACCACCAGCUCAGGUGCCUCCGGCGGGGGCAGUUUUUCCCGUGACGGUUUCUGCAG
RNAcentral lists this long non-coding RNA (210 nucleotides) under Ananas comosus (pineapple). RNAcentral's name for it is "long non-coding RNA (ACOM_LNC039944)". The record is from RNAcentral. Lineage: Eukaryota; Viridiplantae; Streptophyta; Magnoliopsida; Poales; Bromeliaceae.